This 451-nucleotide ribosomal RNA is filed under the name uncultured bacterium. RNAcentral's name for it is "bacterial SSU rRNA". It matches the Rfam family "Bacterial small subunit ribosomal RNA", at positions 354 to 796 of the family's 1533-position model. The record is from RNAcentral.
GUGAGGAAUUUUGCGCAAUGGGGGAAACCCUGACGCAGCAACGCCGCGUGAGUGAUGAAGGCCUUCGGGUCGUAAAGCUCUGUCAAGCGGGAAGAACCCAUGUGGUGCGAACAAUACCACGUGUUGACGGUACCGCUGAAGGAAGCACCGGCUAACUCCGUGCCAGCAGCCGCGGUAAUACGGAGGGUGCAAGCGUUAUUCGGAAUUACUGGGCGUAAAGGGCGCGUAGGCGGCUUUUUAAGUCAGAUGUGAAAGCCCGGGGCUUAACCCCGGAAGUGCAUCUGAAACUAAAAGGCUUGAGUAUGGGAUAGGGAAGUGGAAUUCCUGGUGUAGCGGUGAAAUGCGUAGAUAUCAGGAGGAACACCGGUGGCGAAGGCGACUUCCUGGACCAAUACUGACGCUGAGGCGCGAAGGCGUGGGGAGCAAACAGGAUUAGAAACCCUGGUAGUCC